This 468-nucleotide ribosomal RNA is filed under the name uncultured bacterium. RNAcentral describes it as "partial 16S ribosomal RNA". It matches the Rfam family "Bacterial small subunit ribosomal RNA", at positions 28 to 507 of the family's 1533-position model. The record is from RNAcentral.
GACGAACGCUGGCGGCGUGCUUAACACAUGCAAGUCGAACGGAAAGGCCCUGCUUUUGUGGGGUGCUCGAGUGGCGAACGGGUGAGUAACACGUGAGUAACCUGCCCUUGACUUUGGGAUAACUUCAGGAAACUGGGGCUAAUACCGGAUAGGAGCUCCUGCUGCAUGGUGGGGGUUGGAAAGUUUCGGCGGUUGGGGAUGGACUUGCGGCUUAUCAGCUUGUUGGUGGGGUAGUGGCUUACCAAGGCUUUGACGGGUAGCCGGCCUGAGAGGGUGACCGGCCACAAUGGGACUGAGGUACGGCCCAGACUCCUACGGGAGGCAGCAGUGGGGAAUAUUGCACAAUGGGCGGAAGCGUGAUGCAGAAACGCCGCGUGCGGGAUGACGGCCUUCGGGUUGUAAACCGCUUUCGCCUGUGACGAAGCGUGAGUGACGGUAAUGGGUAAAGAAGCACCGGCUAACUACGUG